This 74-nucleotide transfer RNA is filed under the name Bacillus phage vB_BmeM-Goe8. RNAcentral describes it as "tRNA-Pro". It matches the Rfam family "tRNA". Rfam says of the family: Transfer RNA (tRNA) molecules are approximately 80 nucleotides in length. Their secondary structure includes four short double-helical elements and three loops (D, anti-codon, and T loops). Lineage: Duplodnaviria; Heunggongvirae; Uroviricota; Caudoviricetes; Herelleviridae. The record is from RNAcentral.
AUGGAUGUGGUGUAGUGGUAACUCCCUGCAUUUGGGAUGCAGUGACGCAGGUUCGAUUCCUGCCAUCCGUACCA